This 497-nucleotide ribosomal RNA is filed under the name uncultured bacterium. RNAcentral describes it as "partial 16S ribosomal RNA". It matches the Rfam family "Bacterial small subunit ribosomal RNA", at positions 28 to 507 of the family's 1533-position model. The record is from RNAcentral.
GAUGAACGCUGGCGGCGUGCUUAACACAUGCAAGUCGAACGAAAAGACGCGGCGCUUGCUCCUCGGACGUGUGCCGCGGGCGUGUGAGACACGCGUGUAUCCCCUCCUUGUCAGUCUGGGAUCAUUACGGGAAACCGGAGCUAAUACCAGAUAAUAUAUUGAUCCGUGGGGUGGAAUAGUGAACGACGGUUUUGCUGGCACUAAUAGAUGGAUCCGCGCCGGAUUGGCUAGUUGGGAAGGUAACGGCUUACGAAGGGAACGAUGCGUAGCCGAACUGAGAGGGGGAUCGGCCACAUUGGAACUGAGACACGGUCCAGAGGCCUACGGGAGGCAGCAGUAGGGAAUGUUCGGCAAUGGGCGAAAGCCUGACGCAGCAAGGCCGCGUGAGUGAUGAAGGUCUUCGGUUCGUAAAACCCUGUUAUGAGGUAAGAACCGAUUUGGAAUUAGACAAGGCGUUAUUGACGGUACCGAAUCAAAAAGCAACGGCUAACUACGUG